AGGGGUAUAGCUCAUUAAUAGAGUAUUCGACUGCAGAUCGAGAGGUCCCCGGUUCAAACCCGGAUGCUCCCU
Molecule: transfer RNA, 72 nt
Filed under: Trichonephila inaurata madagascariensis
Lineage: Eukaryota; Metazoa; Arthropoda; Arachnida; Araneae; Nephilidae
Rfam family: tRNA
About the family: Transfer RNA (tRNA) molecules are approximately 80 nucleotides in length. Their secondary structure includes four short double-helical elements and three loops (D, anti-codon, and T loops). Further hydrogen bonds mediate the characteristic L-shaped molecular structure. tRNAs have two regions of fundamental functional importance: the anti-codon, which is responsible for specific mRNA codon recognition, and the 3' end, to which the tRNAs corresponding amino acid is attached (by aminoacyl-tRNA synthetases). tRNAs cope with the degeneracy of the genetic code in two manners: having more than one tRNA (with a specific anti-codon) for a particular amino acid; and 'wobble' base-pairing, i.e. permitting non-standard base-pairing at the 3rd anti-codon position.
Source: Rfam by way of RNAcentral